AGUGAACGCUGGCGGUAGGCCUAACACAUGCAAGUCGAACGGCAACACAGUAAGAGCUUGCUCUUACGGGUGGCGAGUGGCGGACGGGUGAGGAAUACAUCGGAAUCUACUUUUUCGUGGGGGAUAACGUAGGGAAACUUACGCUAAUACCGCAUACGACCUACGGGUGAAAGCAGGGGAUCUUCGGACCUUGCGCGAUUGAAUGAGCCGAUGUCGGAUUAGCUAGUUGGCGGGGUAAAGGCCCACCAAGGCGACGAUCCGUAGCUGGUCUGAGAGGAUGAUCAGCCACACUGGAACUGAGACACGGUCCAGACUCCUACGGGAGGCAGCGGUGGGGAAUAUUGGGCAAAGGGCGCAAGCCUGAUCCAGCCAUACCGCGUGGGUGAAGAAGGCCUUCGGGUUGUAAAGCCCUUUUGUUGGGAAAGAAAAGCAGCAGGUUAAUACCCCGCUGUUCUGACGGUACCCAAAGAAUAAGCACCGGCUAACUUCGUG
RNAcentral lists this ribosomal RNA (492 nucleotides) under uncultured bacterium. Its description in RNAcentral is "partial 16S ribosomal RNA". It matches the Rfam family "Bacterial small subunit ribosomal RNA", at positions 29 to 507 of the family's 1533-position model. The record is from RNAcentral.